RNAcentral lists this transfer RNA (86 nucleotides) under Xenopus laevis (African clawed frog). It matches the Rfam family "tRNA". Rfam says of the family: Transfer RNA (tRNA) molecules are approximately 80 nucleotides in length. Their secondary structure includes four short double-helical elements and three loops (D, anti-codon, and T loops). Further hydrogen bonds mediate the characteristic L-shaped molecular structure. tRNAs have two regions of fundamental functional importance: the anti-codon, which is responsible for specific mRNA codon recognition, and the 3' end, to which the tRNAs corresponding amino acid is attached (by aminoacyl-tRNA synthetases). tRNAs cope with the degeneracy of the genetic code in two manners: having more than one tRNA (with a specific anti-codon) for a particular amino acid; and 'wobble' base-pairing, i.e. permitting non-standard base-pairing at the 3rd anti-codon position. The record is from Rfam by way of RNAcentral. Lineage: Eukaryota; Metazoa; Chordata; Amphibia; Anura; Pipidae.
GGCUCUGUGGCGCAAUGGAUAGCGCAUUGGACUUCUAGGUGUAUAAGGAUAUUCAAAGGAUGUGGGUUUGAAUCCCACCAGAGUCG